UGGCUCAGUGGUAGAGUGCUUGCCUUGCACGCAUGAGGCCCUGGGUUCAAUUCCUCAG
RNAcentral lists this transfer RNA (58 nucleotides) under Dipodomys ordii (Ord's kangaroo rat). It matches the Rfam family "tRNA", at positions 8 to 63 of the family's 71-position model. Rfam says of the family: Transfer RNA (tRNA) molecules are approximately 80 nucleotides in length. Their secondary structure includes four short double-helical elements and three loops (D, anti-codon, and T loops). Lineage: Eukaryota; Metazoa; Chordata; Mammalia; Rodentia; Heteromyidae. The record is from Rfam by way of RNAcentral.